UCCUCCCCUGUCAAUGACACUGUGUGCUUGUAAGAUAUUUCUACUUGCGAGUAGAGCGACCCAUAUUAUCACUCCCAAUGCCAUUACCCAAACAGAGCCUUCAUCUAAUUUCCCAUUUUCGUCCUCUGGUAUACCCUAAAUCCUAAACCCACUUUUUCCCUCUUUUUUAUCUAAAUUCACCGCUCUCCCUAUCCAGAAUUCCCAUAUUACUACCAAUAUAAUAUACGUUUUUGCUCAAGUUUUGGUUUCCCUGAGCCGAUCAUUGAGACAUACAUACAUUGAUUUUGAUGGCAACCGCUCAGCAAGCUUCUGAUCGCUUAAACUCCCCUGGUGUGUGAACAAAAUUCCAAACCUGCUUUAUAUUUUCUAGUGGAUUUCGGAAACUUUACGUGUGGAGAUAUCCGAUGGAGUUUACAUUUUUAGUGUGUGUCUUAUUUUUCUUUUCUUCAUCUGGGAAGUCUGAUUUUUAAGCAUCAAUGGAUUUCUAGGACUUGGUUCUUUCAUUGGUUUCGUGUUCUACGAGAAAUUGUAACGUGAAUGAAUUGAUUAUAAUCGAGGUGGAUUCCUUCCUUCAACGUUGGCAGCAAAAUGCAUUUAUUGCCUUUUUCUUUUUGAUGUUCCUGAGUUUUUGCUUAUGGUGAUAGCUUUUGAUGAGUCAUCAAGAUAAGAUAGAGAAACUAAAUGGUUGUGCUUCAUAGCUUAUGAACUGCCACAUUUAGACGUAUCUUCAGGUUACUCAGGAUAGGAAAGUUGUGAAUUUUUCUGUAUUUGCAUUAAGUUCGUGAUCAAAUUCUGUGCGUUUGAUGGUCUGGAUUAUGCGCAGUUGCCACUUCAGUUUGCUACCUCUUGUAUUACUUGCCCGUGUAUGUGCUUGCGUGCACCAGCAGAUUUAUUUUUCCUUGGUUAGCAAGUGUUUUAUUUGGCCCAUUUAAUCCCAUUUUGUGAUUUUUUUAGAGUCUGCUGAGGCUUUGCACGUAAUGGUCAUAGAUACAAAGCAGAAUCCUGCCAACACACACAUGUUGAAAGAUCAGGUACCGGCCACAUCAAGCACUUUUAUUUAUUGGCUAAACUGGAUGAGUAUGUAUUGGAUGAGCUUGAUU
This 1100-nucleotide long non-coding RNA is filed under the name Carica papaya (papaya). RNAcentral describes it as "long non-coding RNA (CPAP_LNC001017)". The record is from RNAcentral. Lineage: Eukaryota; Viridiplantae; Streptophyta; Magnoliopsida; Brassicales; Caricaceae.